GUGGGACGUCUCACAUGGAGUUACAAAGGAACCGGUUAGAUGAAGAGGUCUGGAAAGGCCCGCCAGAGAAGGUAAAAGCCCUGUAGUUCAAAACUUGUUCCCUCCGAGACGGAUCCCGAGUAGUGCGGGGCACGUGAAACCCCGUAUGAAUCCGGCAGGACCAUCUGCCAAGGCUAAAUACUCCCUGGCGACCGAUAGUGAAGCAGUACCGUGAGGGAAAGGUGAAAAGCACCCCGGAAGGGGAGUGAAAUAGAUCCUGAAACCGUGUGCUUACAAGAAGUCAGAGCCCGAUCUAUGGGUGAUGGCGUGCCUUUUGUAGAAUGAACCGGCGAGUUACGUUCCCGUGCAAGGUUAAGGUGAAGAGCUGAAGCCGCAGCGAAAGCGAGUCUGAAUAGGGCGAAUGAGUACGUGGACGUAGACCCGAAACCGGGUGAUCUACCCCUGUCCAGGGUGAAGGUGCGGUAACACGCACUGGAGGCCCGAACCCACGCAUGUUGAAAAAUGCGGGGAUGAGGUGGGGGUAGCGGAGAAAUUCCAAUCGAACCCGGAGAUAGCUGGUUCUCCCCGAAAUAGCUUUAGGGCUAGCCUCGGAAAGAAGAAUCGUGGAGGUAGAGCACUGAUUGGGUGCGGGGCCCGCAAGGGUUACCAAGCUCAGUCAAACUCCGAAUGCCAUAGAUUUAGUUCCGGGAGUCAGACAGUGAGUGCUAAGAUCCAUUGUCAAAAGGGAAACAGCCCAGACCAUCAGCUAAGGUCCCCAAGUGUGUGUUAAGUGGGAAAGGAUGUGGAGUUGCACAGACAACCAGGAUGUUGGCUUAGAAGCAGCCACCAUUGAAAGAGUGCGUAAUAGCUCACUGGUCGAGUGACUCUGCGCCGAAAAUGUAACGGGGCUAAACACACCACCGAAGCUAUGGCUUGAUGCUUUGCAUCAGGGGUAGGGGAGCGUUGAAUGCGGGUUGAAGGUGUACCGGAAGGAGCGCUGGACUGCAUUCAAGUGAGAAUGCCGGUAUGAGUAACGAAAAGAUCUGUGAGAAUCAGAUCCGCCGAAAGCCUAAGGGUUCCUGAGGAAGGUUCGUCCGCUCAGGGUAAGUCGGGACCUAAGGCGAGGCCGAUAGGCGUAGUCGAAGGACAACAGGU
RNAcentral lists this ribosomal RNA (1134 nucleotides) under Paenibacillus brasilensis. Its description in RNAcentral is "partial 23S ribosomal RNA". It matches the Rfam family "Bacterial large subunit ribosomal RNA", at positions 296 to 1430 of the family's 2925-position model. The record is from RNAcentral. Lineage: Bacteria; Bacillati; Bacillota; Bacilli; Caryophanales; Paenibacillaceae.